AGCGAACGCUGGCGGCAGGCUUAACACAUGCAAGUCGAGCGGGCACUUUCGGGUGUCAGCGGCGGACGGGUGAGUAACGCGUGGGAACGUGCCCUCUGGUUCGGAAUAACUCAGGGAAACUUGAGCUAAUACCGGAUACGCCCUUUUGGGGAAAGGCUUGCUGCCGGAGGAUCGGCCCGCGUCUGAUUAGCUAGUUGGUGAGGUAACGGCUCACCAAGGCGACGAUCAGUAGCUGGUCUGAGAGGAUGAUCAGCCACACUGGGACUGAGACACGGCCCAGACUCCUACGGGAAGCAGCAGUGGGGAAUAUUGGACAAUGGGCGCAAGCCUGAUCCAGCCAUGCCGCGUGAGUGAUGAAGGCCUUAGGGUUGUAAAGCUCUUUUAUCCGGGACGGUAAUGACGGUACCGGAGGAAUAAGCCCCGGCUAACUUCGUG
Molecule: ribosomal RNA, 435 nt
Filed under: uncultured bacterium
Lineage: Bacteria
Description: partial 16S ribosomal RNA
Rfam family: Bacterial small subunit ribosomal RNA
Source: RNAcentral